RNAcentral lists this transfer RNA (75 nucleotides) under Acidithiobacillus thiooxidans. Its description in RNAcentral is "tRNA-Gly". It matches the Rfam family "tRNA". From Rfam's summary of the family: Transfer RNA (tRNA) molecules are approximately 80 nucleotides in length. Their secondary structure includes four short double-helical elements and three loops (D, anti-codon, and T loops). The record is from RNAcentral. Lineage: Bacteria; Pseudomonadati; Pseudomonadota; Acidithiobacillia; Acidithiobacillales; Acidithiobacillaceae. RNAcentral also lists the same sequence under 1 other name.
GCGGGGUUGGCAUAUUGGCCUGUGCGUCGGCCUUCCAAGCCGAAUAAAGGAGUUCGAUUCUCCUAUCCCGCUCCA